This 479-nucleotide non-coding RNA is filed under the name Nematostella vectensis (starlet sea anemone). RNAcentral describes it as "Eukaryotic small subunit ribosomal RNA". It matches the Rfam family "Eukaryotic small subunit ribosomal RNA", at positions 98 to 616 of the family's 1831-position model. Lineage: Eukaryota; Metazoa; Cnidaria; Anthozoa; Actiniaria; Edwardsiidae. The record is from Rfam by way of RNAcentral.
UCAUUAAAUCAGUUAUCGUUUAUUUGAUUGUACCUUUACCACUUGGAUAACCGUGGUAAUUCUAGAGCUAAUACAUGCGAAAAGUCCCGACUUCUGGAAGGGAUGUAUUUAUUAGAUUCAAAACCAAUGCGGGUUCUGCCCGGUCAUUUGGUGAUUCAUAGUAACUGUUCGAAUCGCAGGGCCUCGCGCCGGCGAUGUUUCAUUUAAAUUUCUGCCCUAUCAACUGUCGAUGGUAAGGUGUUGGCUUACCAUGGUUACAACGGGUGACGGAGAAUUAGGGUUCGAUUCCGGAGAGGGAGCCUGAGAAACGGCUACCACAUCCAAGGAAGGCAGCAGGCGCGCAAAUUACCCAAUCCUGACUCAGGGAGGUAGUGACAAGAAAUAACAAUACAGGGCUUUUCUAAGUCUUGUAAUUGGAAUGAGAUUAGAUAGAAUUAUUAGCUGAGAAUAUUUACUUAAAUAUAAAGGAAAUAUCUUAU